AUUGACCGCUGGCGGAAUGCUUUACACAUGCAAGUCGAACGGCAGCACGGGGGCAGCCCUGGUGGCGCGUGGCGAACGGGUGAGUAAUACAUCGGAACGUGCCCGGUCGUGGGGGAUAACGUAGCGAAAGUUACGCUAAUAUCGCAUACGAUCUGAGGAUGAAAGCGGGGGACCUUCGGGCCUCGCGCGAUCGGAGCGACCGAUGUAAGAAUAGCUAAUUGGUGUGGUAAUCGCCAACCAAUUAGACGCACUGUAGCUGGUCUGAGAGGCAGACCCGCCACACUAGGACUGAGACACGGCCCAGACUCCUACGGGUGGCAGCAGUGGGGAAUUUUGGACAAUGGGCGCAAGCCUGAUCCAGCCAUUCCGCGUGCAGGACGAAGGCCUUCGGGUUGUAACCUGCUUUUGUACGGAACGAGAAGGCUCUGGCUAAUACCUGGUGCUCAUGACGGUACCGUAAGAAUAAGCACCGGCUAACUACGUG
RNAcentral lists this ribosomal RNA (484 nucleotides) under uncultured bacterium. Its description in RNAcentral is "partial 16S ribosomal RNA". It matches the Rfam family "Bacterial small subunit ribosomal RNA", at positions 30 to 507 of the family's 1533-position model. The record is from RNAcentral.